GGGUUGUGAGGUUAAGCGACUAAGCGUACACGGUGGAUGCCCUGGCAGUCAGAGGCGAUGAAGGACGUGCUAAUCUGCGAUAAGCGUCGGUAAGGUGAUAUGAACCGUUAUAACCGGCGAUUUCCGAAUGGGGAAACCCAGUGUGUUUCGACACACUAUCAUUAACUGAAUCCAUAGGUUAAUGAGGCGAACCGGGGGAACUGAAACAUCUAAGUACCCCGAGGAAAAGAAAUCAACCGAGAUUCCCCCAGUAGCGGCGAGCGAACGGGGAGCAGCCCAGAGCCUGAAUCAGUGUGUGUGUUAGUGGAAGCGUCUGGAAAGGCGCGCGAUACAGGGUGACAGCCCCGUACACAAAAAUGCACAUGCUGUGAGCUCGAUGAGUAGGGCGGGACACGUGGUAUCCUGUCUGAAUAUGGGGGGACCAUCCUCCAAGGCUAAAUACUCCUGACUGACCGAUAGUGAACCAGUACCGUGAGGGAAAGGCGAAAAGAACCCCGGCGAGGGGAGUGAAAAAGAACCUGAAACCGUGUACGUACAAGCAGUGGGAGCACAGAGCAAUCUGUGUGACUGCGUACCUUUUGUAUAAUGGGUCAGCGACUUAUAUUCUGUAGCAAGGUUAACCGAAUAGGGGAGCCGAAGGGAAACCGAGUCUUAACUGGGCGUUAAGUUGCAGGGUAUAGACCCGAAACCCGGUGAUCUAGCCAUGGGCAGGUUGAAGGUUGGGUAACACUAACUGGAGGACCGAACCGACUAAUGUUGAAAAAUUAGCGGAUGACUUGUGGCUGGGGGUGAAAGGCCAAUCAAACCGGGAGAUAGCUGGUUCUCCCCGAAAGCUAUUUAGGUAGCGCCUCGUGAAUUCAUCUCCGGGGGUAGAGCACUGUUUCGGCAAGGGGGUCAUCCCGACUUACCAACCCGAUGCAAACUGCGAAUACCGGAGAAUGUUAUCACGGGAGACACACGGCGGGUGCUAACGUCCGUCGUGAAGAGGGAAACAACCCAGACCGCCAGCUAAGGUCCCAAAGUCAUGGUUAAGUGGGAAACGAUGUGGGAAGGCCCAGACAGCCAGGAUGUUGGCUUAGAAGCAGCCAUCAUUUAAAGAAAGCGUAAUAGCUCACUGGUCGAGUCGGCCUGCGCGGAAGAUGUAACGGGGCUAAACCAUGCACCGAAGCUGCGGCAGCGACGCUUAUGCGUUGUUGGGUAGGGGAGCGUUCUGUAAGCCUGCGAAGGUGUGCUGUGAGGCAUGCUGGAGGUAUCAGAAGUGCGAAUGCUGACAUAAGUAACGAUAAAGCGGGUGAAAAGCCCGCUCGCCGGAAGACCAAGGGUUCCUGUCCAACGUUAAUCGGGGCAGGGUGAGUCGACCCCUAAGGCGAGGCCGAAAGGCGUAGUCGAUGGGAAACAGGUUAAUAUUCCUGUACUUGGUGUUACUGCGAAGGGGGGACGGAGAAGGCUAUGUUGGCCGGGCGACGGUUGUCCCGGUUUAAGCGUGUAGGCUGGUUUUCCAGGCAAAUCCGGAAAAUCAAGGCUGAGGCGUGAUGACGAGGCACUACGGUGCUGAAGCAACAAAUGCCCUGCUUCCAGGAAAAGCCUCUAAGCAUCAGGUAACAUCAAAUCGUACCCCAAACCGACACAGGUGGUCAGGUAGAGAAUACCAAGGCGCUUGAGAGAACUCGGGUGAAGGAACUAGGCAAAAUGGUGCCGUAACUUCGGGAGAAGGCACGCUGAUAUGUAGGUGAAGUCCCUCGCGGAUGGAGCUGAAAUCAGUCGAAGAUACCAGCUGGCUGCAACUGUUUAUUAAAAACACAGCACUGUGCAAACACGAAAGUGGACGUAUACGGUGUGACGCCUGCCCGGUGCCGGAAGGUUAAUUGAUGGGGUCAGCGCAAGCGAAGCUCUUGAUCGAAGCCCCGGUAAACGGCGGCCGUAACUAUAACGGUCCUAAGGUAGCGAAAUUCCUUGUCGGGUAAGUUCCGACCUGCACGAAUGGCGUAAUGAUGGCCAGGCUGUCUCCACCCGAGACUCAGUGAAAUUGAACUCGCUGUGAAGAUGCAGUGUACCCGCGGCAAGACGGAAAGACCCCGUGAACCUUUACUAUAGCUUGACACUGAACAUUGAGCCUUGAUGUGUAGGAUAGGUGGGAGGCUUUGAAGUGUGGACGCCAGUCUGCAUGGAGCCGACCUUGAAAUACCACCCUUUAAUGUUUGAUGUUCUAACGUGGACCCGUAAUCCGGGUUGCGGACAGUGUCUGGUGGGUAGUUUGACUGGGGCGGUCUCCUCCUAAAGAGUAACGGAGGAGCACGAAGGUUGGCUAAUCCUGGUCGGACAUCAGGAGGUUAGUGCAAUGGCAUAAGCCAGCUUGACUGCGAGCGUGACGGCGCGAGCAGGUGCGAAAGCAGGUCAUAGUGAUCCGGUGGUUCUGAAUGGAAGGGCCAUCGCUCAACGGAUAAAAGGUACUCCGGGGAUAACAGGCUGAUACCGCCCAAGAGUUCAUAUCGACGGCGGUGUUUGGCACCUCGAUGUCGGCUCAUCACAUCCUGGGGCUGAAGUAGGUCCCAAGGGUAUGGCUGUUCGCCAUUUAAAGUGGUACGCGAGCUGGGUUUAGAACGUCGUGAGACAGUUCGGUCCCUAUCUGCCGUGGGCGCUGGAGAAUUGAGGGGGGCUGCUCCUAGUACGAGAGGACCGGAGUGGACGCAUCACUGGUGUUCGGGUUGUCAUGCCAAUGGCACUGCCCGGUAGCUAAAUGCGGAAGAGAUAAGUGCUGAAAGCAUCUAAGCACGAAACUUGCCCCGAGAUGAGUUCUCCCUGACUCCUUGAGAGUCCUGAAGGAACGUUGAAGACGACGACGUUGAUAGGCCGGGUGUGUAAGCGCAGCGAUGCGUUGAGCUAACCGGUACUAAUGAACCGUGAGGCUUAACCUUACAACGCCGAAG
This 2927-nucleotide ribosomal RNA is filed under the name Escherichia coli. RNAcentral describes it as "partial 23S ribosomal RNA". It matches the Rfam family "Bacterial large subunit ribosomal RNA". Lineage: Bacteria; Pseudomonadati; Pseudomonadota; Gammaproteobacteria; Enterobacterales; Enterobacteriaceae. The record is from RNAcentral.